This 380-nucleotide ribosomal RNA is filed under the name uncultured bacterium. RNAcentral describes it as "bacterial SSU rRNA". It matches the Rfam family "Bacterial small subunit ribosomal RNA", at positions 30 to 409 of the family's 1533-position model. The record is from RNAcentral.
AUUGAACGCUGGCGGCAUGCCUUACACAUGCAAGUCGAACGGCAGCACGGGAGCAAUCCUGGUGGCGAGUGGCGAACGGGUGAGUAAUAUAUCGGAACGUGCCCAGUCGUGGGGGAUAACGUAGCGAAAGCUACGCUAAUACCGCAUACGAUCUAUGGAUGAAAGCGGGGGAUCGCAAGACCUCGCGCGAUUGGAGCGGCCGAUAUCAGAUUAGGUAGUUGGUGAGGUAAAGGCUCACCAAGCCGACGAUCUGUAGCUGGUCUGAGAGGACGACCAGCCACACUGGGACUGAGACACGGCCCAGACUCCUACGGGAGGCAGCAGUGGGGAAUUUUUGGACAAUGGGCGCAAGCCUGAUCCAGCAAUGCCGCGUGCAGGAU